Molecule: long non-coding RNA, 195 nt
Organism: Lutra lutra (Eurasian river otter)
Lineage: Eukaryota; Metazoa; Chordata; Mammalia; Carnivora; Mustelidae
Exons: 3
Source: RefSeq, a predicted model, not a curated record
AGGGUAGGUGGCCCGAGGAGGAGCUUGCUGGGGGCUGGGGGGUGGGGGGAUCACACUACAGCAGAAGCCUGGAUCCUGAGAAGUAGAAGCCUCACUGUCUCGAAGUUCAUUCCCCUUUCUUCUCUGAAAUGGCCACGUUAAGAUCCAAGUGUCCGUUCAUGCCCAUGAUACCUUUCAACUAAAUGAACAACUAGA